Mus pahari (shrew mouse) is the source of this 159-nucleotide long non-coding RNA. RefSeq lists it as uncharacterized. NCBI's taxonomy places the organism in Eukaryota, Metazoa, Chordata, Mammalia, Rodentia, Muridae. The transcript has 3 exons. The record is from RefSeq and is a predicted model, not a curated record.
UGGCACUGACAUUUUGGAAUAAGACACUUUUAAAAUACUAGUAGAGAGCUAGCUCCUUGGGGCUUGGCGGGUGUCACUUCUUGAGGAAAAUGGAGAUGGAUGAACACUUUAUCAUGUCUGGGAACGUUGAGGAAGAGGGGACAGAAAGACUGUAAGCAG